RNAcentral lists this ribosomal RNA (664 nucleotides) under Vreelandella aquamarina. RNAcentral describes it as "bacterial SSU rRNA". It matches the Rfam family "Bacterial small subunit ribosomal RNA", at positions 73 to 736 of the family's 1533-position model. The record is from RNAcentral. Lineage: Bacteria; Pseudomonadati; Pseudomonadota; Gammaproteobacteria; Oceanospirillales; Halomonadaceae.
AUCCAGCUUGCUGGAUGCUGACGAGCGGCGGACGGGUGAGUAAUGCAUAGGAAUCUGCCCGAUAGUGGGGGAUAACCUGGGGAAACCCAGGCUAAUACCGCAUACCUCCUACGGGAGAAAGGGGGCUCCGGCUCCCGCUAUGGGAUGAGCCUAUGUCGGAUUAGCUAGUUGGUGAGGUAACGGCUCACCAAGGCCACGAUCCGUAGCUGGUCUGAGAGGAUGAUCAGCCACAUCGGGACUGAGACACGGCCCGAACUCCUACCGGAGGCAGCAGUGGGGAAUAUUGGACAAUGGGGGAAAGCCUGAUCCAGCCCUGCCGCGUGUGUGAAGAAGGCCCUCGGGUUGUAAAGCACUUUCAGCGAGGAAGAACGCCUAGCGGUUAAUACCCGCUAGGAAAGACAUCACUCGCAGAAGAAGCACGGGCUAACUCCGUGCCCAGCAGCCGCGGUAAUACGGAGGGUGCAAGCGUUAAUCGGAAUUACUGGGCGUAAAGCGCGCGUAGGUGGCUUGAUAAGCCGGUUGUGAAAGCCCCGGGCUCAACCUGGGAACGGCAUCCGGAACUGUCAAGCUAGAGUGCAGGAGAGGAAGGUAGAAUUCCCGGUGUAGCGGUGAAAUGCGUAGAGAUCGGGAGGAAUACCAGUGGCGAAGGCGGGCUUCUGGACUG